This 2210-nucleotide long non-coding RNA is filed under the name Anneissia japonica. RNAcentral describes it as "uncharacterized LOC117116599, transcript variant X3". Lineage: Eukaryota; Metazoa; Echinodermata; Crinoidea; Comatulida; Comatulidae. The record is from RNAcentral.
AUUUUCAGAUGAAUGUGCGGAAUGCCAUGGAUGAGGAUAUAGCUGAAAAAGCACCAUAAAUGUGCAGAAUAUCAUGGAUGUGGGUCAAUCGAGGAUAUAGCUGAAAAACGAACUACAUUUUGUAUUUGCCAUUGCGGUGUUGGAUCGGACUAGAGACAGCAACUGAUAUUUCAGCUGACAAGAUUAUACAAUAUUGAGGUAAGUUGGGUUAAAACGCAUUUACGAAGUGUAUAUCUUGUGUGCCUUAGCUAUAUUCACAGAUUGAAAGACCUCCAAAGCAGAAAAAGAACAAGGUAGACAAAUGCAGCAAGACAGCUACAAAUACAAGGAGUCUAUAAAUCGAUAUUAGCUGACAAGAUGAUGAAUUAUUAAGUACAGUUUGUAUUUGAUAUGACGAUAUGGCAUUGCGGCGUCGGAUCAGACCUAAGACAGCAAUUGAUAUUCAACUGACAAGAUUAUAGAAUAUUGAGAUAAAUGUGCGGAAUGCCAUGGAUGUGGGUCAAUUCAGAAUAUAGCUGGAAAAGCAACCUUUAUUCGCAGAUUGAAAGAACUCCAAACCAGAAAAAGAACAUGGUACACAAUUGCAGCAAAACAACAAGUACAAGGAGUGAGUUAAGAUAUAUUCACAGGUCGAAAGAACUCAAAACCAGAAAAAGAGGAUGGCACACAAAUAUUUUAACUGACAAGAUGAUAGAAUAUAGAUUAAUGUGCGGAAUAUGCCAUGGAUGUGCCCAAUCGAGGAUAACUACUGUAACUAUAGCUGAGAAAAGAACUACAGUUUGGCAUUGCGGCAUCGAUCAGACAGGGAGAGCAACUGAUAUUUCAACUGACAAGAUUAUCGAAUAUUGAGGUAAGUCGGGUUUAAAAGCAUUAAUUUUUGCGAACUGUAUAUCUGGUGUGCUUUAGCUAUAUUCACAGAUUGAAGGACCUCCAAACCAGAAAAAGAACAUGGUAGACAAUUGCAGAAAGACAGCUACAAGGACUGAGUUAAGAUACAAAUCAAAACCAGAAAAAGAAGAUGGUACACAAAUUUGAUAUUUCAACUGACAAGAUGAUUGAAUAUUAAGAUAAAUGUGCGGAAUGCCUUGGAUGUGGGCCAAUCGAGUAUAAAGCUGGAACGUAGACGGGCAAGAUGUCAUGAUGUGCGCAAAUCGAGAAUGUAGAUGGAAAGGCACGCAAUUUCAUUUUAGGAGCACCCAUUUUCUUAUAAAAUCGCAUUAAUAAUAAUCAUGGUAUUUCAAAUGGCUAAUUCUCGAUGAUUAUAAAUACAUGUAUGUAAGUUUAUUUAUAAUUCUGACUUUGUUUUGCCGGCCCUUAUCAAUGUUUGUAUUAUGCAAUGUUUUUCAUUUGUAAAUUUAUACCUCAACAGUUAUAUACAAAUAUUUAAUUUAUAAAAUAGCUAUAAAUAUAUAUAAUAUAUUUAAAAUAUAAAUAAAUAUAAUUUAAUCGAAAUACUAAUGCCAUUAUUCAUUACAUCAUACUAAUUGCACUCAUACUUUUUCUAACUAAAAGGUAUCUUCCUCUUUUGUAAGUUUCCUCUUAGUGGGAGGUUCUAGGCAUCCGAUUAGCUAGGUGGCUAUAGUAAGCUGUAGUUAAGUACAGUUAGGGUAAUUAAGCACUAAGAGGAAUGAUACCAUUUAUACUCAUUCAAAUUCAUUAUCACUUUAUUUUUUGUUGUUUCUGUGCUGUUUCUUGAAGGUACCUUUCUCCAUCCCUGGCUUGUAGAGUAAGUAUAGGUAGGUUAUGUAAGUAUUAGGAACAGAGAAAUGGUGCCUUUUCUACUUCGCUUCUUUUCCUUCAUUUUUGUUUUGUCAUUCAUAUAAAAUACAUAAAAUUAAAAUUGAUAUAAUAUAAAUUAUAUAGAAUAAAUUGAUAUUUUCAAUAGUAAUUAAUUGAUGAUAGGAAUGAUAAAAUAAACAUAAAAUUAAAUCAAAAUUAAAUAAAAUGUAACUGUUGAGGUAAUUUGUAUUUUAUGCAUGUUGUUAUUUAUAGGCCUACAAUGAGUUUAAUUGCAUAAACACGUGUGGUUAAGCUCACGGGGCAGUGACAAGGGUGAGAAUUCAGAUCUUUCCUUACUGGAGCUAAUCUCCUGUCACUGUCGUGUGGUUUUCCCCGAGUACUUCGGUUUCCUCCACACACAAUUCACUACUCUUCUCUAUUCGGAAAAUUUUUAUUCAUUUCGGACAUUUUUUGACAGUGAAUAAAAUAAG